GUGGGCGUAGCUCAGCUGGUAGAGCCCCGGAUUGUGGCUCCGGUGGUCGUGGGUUCAAAUCCCAUCGCUCACCCCA
Molecule: transfer RNA, 76 nt
Filed under: Pseudomonadota bacterium
Lineage: Bacteria; Pseudomonadati; Pseudomonadota
Description: Proteobacteria bacterium tRNA-His
Rfam family: tRNA
About the family: Transfer RNA (tRNA) molecules are approximately 80 nucleotides in length.
Source: RNAcentral